Molecule: ribosomal RNA, 270 nt
Filed under: uncultured bacterium
Lineage: Bacteria
Description: partial 16S ribosomal RNA
Rfam family: Bacterial small subunit ribosomal RNA
Source: RNAcentral
CCGGCGACCGGCGCACGGGUGAGUAACACGUAUGCAACCUGGCCGUGACAGAUGGAUAACCGGGAGAAAUCCCGCCUAAUACAACAUAAUGCCGGGAGGGGACAUCCCCUGCCGGCCAAAGGGGGCGACCCCGGUCACGGAUGGGCAUGCGGCGCAUUAGGUAGUUGGCGGUGUAACGGACCACCAAGACGACGAUGCGUAGGGGUUCUGAGAGGAAGGUCCCCCACACUGGUACUGAGACACGGACCAGACUCCUACGGGAGGCAGCAG